This 856-nucleotide ribosomal RNA is filed under the name uncultured fungus. RNAcentral's name for it is "LSU rRNA". It matches the Rfam family "Eukaryotic large subunit ribosomal RNA", at positions 56 to 711 of the family's 3401-position model. Lineage: Eukaryota; Fungi. The record is from RNAcentral.
GAGAAGACUACAGGAUUCCCCUAGUAACGGCGAGUGAAGCGGGAAUAGCUCAAAUUUGAAAUCUCUCAUGGUAACAUGAGCGAAUUGUAGUUUGGAGAAGCGCUUUCUGAAAUGAGAUGCCGUCUAAGUUCUUUGGAACGAGACAUCAAAGAGGGUGAGAAUCCCGUAGUGGGCGGCAAUAUAUCUUGUUUCUAUACGGGGCGUUUUCGAAGAGUCGGGUUGUUUGGGAAUGCAGCCCAAAAUGGGUGGUAAAUUUCAUCUAAAGCUAAAUAUUGGCACGAGACCGAUAGCGAACAAGUACCGUGAGGGAAAGAUGAAAAGCACUUUGAAAAGAGAGUUAAAUAGCACGUGAAGCCGUUAAAAUGGAAACGAUUGAAGUCAGUAGUGCAUGCCUGAUAAUCAACUUGAUCAUGGUGAGAUUUGGAGUGGGAGGAAGAGGUGUGAAAGCAUCCUUUACUUGCUCGAAUAACCUUUGCUGUGGACGAGUGCACUUAUUGGGAUUUUUUUUUGCGGGUCAGCAUCGGUUCGGAUGGUGGGGUAAAUUAUAUGGGAAGGUAGCUGUUUGUCGCAAGACCGGCAGUGUUACAGCCUAUAUGACGAGACAUGAUCUGGACCGAGGAAUGAAAGAAAAAAAGCGUACGCCCUAUACGGGCUAGAGAGCGAUUACCAUGGUGUUGCUGGCUUUCGGUUACUGCGUAAAAAACAUGUGGCUGUUUGUCAAAUUUUGUGAUGCUAAAGGGAGGUCGUUAUUCAUACAUUGCGCUUUGGAUGCUGACGAAAUGGCUUUAACCGACCCGUCUUGAAACACGGACCAAGGAGCCUAACAUAUGCGCGAGUCUUAGGGUGGCAAACCCGA